This 228-nucleotide ribosomal RNA is filed under the name uncultured bacterium. RNAcentral describes it as "partial 16S rRNA". It matches the Rfam family "Bacterial small subunit ribosomal RNA", at positions 505 to 732 of the family's 1533-position model. The record is from RNAcentral.
GUGCCAGCAGCCGCGGUAAUACGUAGGUGGCAAGCGUUGUCCGGAUUUACUGGGCGUAAAGGGUGUGUAGGCGGUUACUUAAGUGUGAUGUGAAAUCCCCGGGCUUAACUUUGGAGCGUCAUUGCAAACUGGGUGUCUUGAGUGCAGAAGAGGAAAGUAGAAUUCCAAGUGUAGCGGUGAAAUGCGUAGAGAUUAGGAAGAAAACCAGUGGCGAAGGCGGCUUUCUGG